Molecule: ribosomal RNA, 452 nt
Filed under: uncultured Actinomycetes bacterium
Lineage: Bacteria; Bacillati; Actinomycetota; Actinomycetes
Description: bacterial SSU rRNA
Rfam family: Bacterial small subunit ribosomal RNA
Source: RNAcentral
GACGAACGCUGGCUGCGUGCUUCAUACAUGCAAGUCGAACGGACAGCAUCCAGUGGCAACACUGGGGAAGUGUUAGUGGCGAACGGGUGAGUAACACGUGAGGAACUUGCCCCGGACUCUGGGAUAACAGUUUGAAACGGCUGCUAAUACCAGAUGCCAUCGGUGGAUCGCAUGGUCUGCCGAUGAAAGAAUUUCGGUCUGGGAUGGCCUCGCGGCCUAUCAGCUAGUUGGUGGGGUAACGGCCUACCAAGGCGUCGACGGGUAGCUGGUCUGAGAGGAUGAUCAGCCACACUGGGACUGAGACACGGCCCAGACUCCUACGGGAGGCAGCAGUAGGGAAUCUUGCGCAAUGGGCGAAAGCCUGACGCAGCAACGCCGCGUGCGGGAAGAAGGCCUUCGGGUUGUAAACCGCUUUUGGCAGGAACGAAAAUGACGGUACCUGCAGAAUAAGG